AGCGGCAAUAGCUCAAAUUUGAAAUCUGGCUCUCUUUGGGGGUCCGAGUUGUAAUUUGCAGAGGGUGCUUUGGCGUUGACGGCGGUCUAAGUUCCUUGGAACAGGACAUCGCAGAGGGUGAGAAUCCCGUUUGUGGUCGCCAGUCUUCACCGUGUAAAGCCCCUUCGACGAGUCGAGUUGUUUGGGAAUGCAGCUCUAAAUGGGAGGUAAAUUUCUUCUAAAGCUAAAUACCGGCCAGAGACCGAUAGCGCACAAGUAGAGUGAUCGAAAGAUGAAAAGCACUUUGGAAAGAGAGUCAAAUAGCACGUGAAAUUGUUGAAAGGGAAGCGCUUGCAGCCAGACUUGCCUGUAGUUGCUCAUCCGGGCUCUUGCCCGGAGCACUCUUCUGCAGGCAGGCCAGCAUCAGUUUGGGCGGCUGGAUAAAGACCUCUGUCAUGUAUCUUCCUUCGGGAUGACCUUAUAGGGGAGGUGUAAUGCAGUCAGCCUGGACUGAGGUCCGCGCAUUUGCUAGGAUGCUGGCGUAAUGGCUGUAAGCGGCCCGUCUUGAAACACGGACCAAGGAGUCUAACAUCUAUGCGAGUGUUUGGGUGUCAAGCCCGGGCGCGCAAUGAAAGUGAACGGAGGUGGGAACCCUCUCGGGGGUGCACCAUCGACCGAUCCUGAUGUCUUCGGAUGGAUUUGAGUAAGAGCAUAGCUGUUGGGACCCGAAAGAUGGUGAACUAUGCUUGAAUAGGGUGAAGCCAGAGGAAACUCUGGUGGAGGCUCGC
RNAcentral lists this ribosomal RNA (767 nucleotides) under Macrodiplodiopsis desmazieri. RNAcentral's name for it is "eukaryotic LSU rRNA". It matches the Rfam family "Eukaryotic large subunit ribosomal RNA", at positions 97 to 878 of the family's 3401-position model. Lineage: Eukaryota; Fungi; Ascomycota; Dothideomycetes; Pleosporales. The record is from RNAcentral.